UCAGGAUGAACGCUAGCUACAGGCUUAACACAUGCAAGUCGAGGGGCAGCAUGGUCUUAGCUUGCUAAGGCCGAUGGCGACCGGCGCACGGGUGAGUAACACGUAUCCAACCUGCCGUCUACUCUUGGACAGCCUUCUGAAAGGAAGAUUAACACAAGAUGGCAUCAUGAGUCCGCAUGUUCACAUGAUUAAAGGUAUUCCGGUAGACGAUGGGGAUGCGUUCCAUUAGAUAGUAGGCGGGGUAACGGCCCACCUAGUCUUCGAUGGAUAGGGGUUCUGAGAGGAAGGUCCCCCACAUUGGAACUGAGACACGGUCCAAACUCCUACGGGAGGCAGCAGUGAGGAAUAUUGGUCAAUGGGCGAGAGUCUGAACCAGCCAAGUAGCGUGAAGGAUGACUGCCCUAUGGGUUGUAAACUUCUUUUAUAAAGGAAUAAAGUCGGGUAUGCAUACCCGUUUGCAUGUACUUUAUGAAUAAGGAUCGGCUAACUCCGUGCCAGCAGCCGCGGUAAUACGGAGGAUCCGAGCGUUAUCCGGAUUUAUUGGGUUUAAAGGGAGCGUAGAUGGAUGUUUAAGUCAGUUGUGAAAGUUUGCGGCUCAACCGUAAAAUUGCAGUUGGUACUGGAUAUCUUGAGUGCAGUUGAGGCAGGCGGAAUUCGUGGUGUAGCGGUGAAAUGCUUAGAUAUCACGAAGAACUCCGAUUGCGAAGGCAGCCUGCUAAGCUGCAACUGACAUUGAGGCUCGAAAGUGUGGGUAUCAAACAGGAUUAGAUACCCUGGUAGUCCACACGGUAAACGAUGAAUACUAGGUGUUGGGGAUUUAUAAAUCCUCGGUGCCGUCGCAAACGCAAUAAGUAAUCCACCUGGGGAGUACGUUCGCAAGAAUGAAACUCAAAUGAAUUGACGGAAGGGCGA
Molecule: ribosomal RNA, 912 nt
Filed under: uncultured bacterium
Lineage: Bacteria
Description: bacterial SSU rRNA
Rfam family: Bacterial small subunit ribosomal RNA
Source: RNAcentral